GAUGAACGCUGGCGGCGUGCCUAAUACAUGCAAGUCGAGCGAACGGACGAGAAGCUUGCUUUUCUGAUGUUAGCGGCGGACGGGUGAGUAACACGUGGAUAACCUACCUAUAAGACUGGGAUAACUUCGGGAAACCGGAGCUAAUACCGGAUAAUAUUUUGAACCGCAUGGUUCAAAAGUGAAAGACGGUCUUGCUGUCACUUCUAGAUGGAUCCGCGCUGCAUUAGCUAGUUGGUAAGGUAACGGCUUACCAAGGCAACGAUGCAUAGCCGACCUGAGAGGGGGAUCGGCGACACUGGAACUGAGACACGGUCCAGACUCCUACGGGAGGCAGCAGUAGGGAACGGUCCGCAAUGGGCGAAAGCCUGACGGAGCAACGCCGCGUGAGUGAUGAAGGUCUUCGGAGCGUAAAACUCUGUUAUGAGGGAAGAACAUAUGUGUAAGUAACUGUGCACAUCUUGACGGUACCUAAUCAGAAAGCCACGGCUAACUACGUG
RNAcentral lists this ribosomal RNA (497 nucleotides) under uncultured bacterium. RNAcentral's name for it is "partial 16S ribosomal RNA". It matches the Rfam family "Bacterial small subunit ribosomal RNA", at positions 28 to 507 of the family's 1533-position model. The record is from RNAcentral.